This is a non-coding RNA of Oryzias latipes (Japanese medaka), 76 nucleotides long. The record is from Rfam. NCBI's taxonomy places the organism in Eukaryota, Metazoa, Chordata, Actinopteri, Beloniformes, Adrianichthyidae.
ACAAGGUGAUGACCUAUGAAUUGACAGCCAGUUACUUCUAACACCUGCCUGUCAGUUCUGUAGGCCACUGCUGCGU